Molecule: long non-coding RNA, 318 nt
Organism: Tupaia belangeri chinensis (Chinese tree shrew)
Lineage: Eukaryota; Metazoa; Chordata; Mammalia; Scandentia; Tupaiidae
Exons: 3
Source: RefSeq, a predicted model, not a curated record
AAUCGGCCAAGUGCGCCUGCGCAACACUUCCCGCCGCGGGCCACCCAGCCGCACAUGCGCACUACAAAGCCCUCGAGCAUGUGCCCUCUAGCAUAAAAGAAAAAAGAAGAGUGGAACAGAGAAAAUAGCAGGCUACUUCAUAUUUAAGAGAAACAGUGGUGGUUCUGACAUGAAUGAUGGCAGAAGAAAUAAAGGGGAGAAGACAAUGGAAUUUGGUGACUGGCUGUGGAAGAUGAGAAGAACAGUGUAAAUGGUGAAUCUUAGUUUUUAGGCUUUUCUUUCAUGGGCUUUAGGCAUCGUCCCAAGAAGACUUCAGAG